Molecule: long non-coding RNA, 2002 nt
Filed under: Zea mays
Lineage: Eukaryota; Viridiplantae; Streptophyta; Magnoliopsida; Poales; Poaceae
Description: long non-coding RNA (ZMAY_LNC004326)
Source: RNAcentral
CUUGUCCGCCGCCCCCUGCCCAUCUCCUCUCUCAAUUCUUGCAGCCACCAAACCCUAGCCCCCCCCCUCAAUCCCCUCCUCCCAAGGUGCCAAUCCUUGCCGCUCGGAUCAUCGUCACGUGGUGCGAGUCUUCAAUCGUUUUGGUGGAGGGAAGAAGGGAGGAAGGAAAGGGGGAGAAUCCAAGGUGAUUUUUGUGUUCAUCCCUUGUUCAUUUGCGCUGCAAUUUAAUUGAUUAGAGGUUGUGUUUGCGAUUGGGUAGAGGGGGCUGUCCAGAAUUUUAGGUGGUGGGUGAACAGCAGUAGUUCUAGCAGUUUCUGUGUUUUUUUCGUGAGAAAUUAAGGGAAAUCAGUUUGGGGAUCAUGUAGAACUUUGUCUUACCUUUCAAACGAGUAUUUAUGCGCUCAAUUUGGAGUUAUAAAUUGAAAGUUAUCACCGUUUGAAUCCUGGUAUGUGGCUGUCCAAAAAACAGAUUUUCAGGGGGAUGAACAGCAGCAGUAUUAGCAGUUUCUAGAGAUUUUUCGGGAGUAAUUAGGGUUAAUCAGUAUAAGAAUCAUGAAGGGCUCUUUCUUAUCUUUCCAACAAGUACUUAUGCGCUUGAUUCGGAAUUAUAUUUUAAAAGUUAUCGCUGUUUAAAUCCGAGUAUGUCAGUGCCCAAAACAGAAAAAAAAACAGAUUGCAGGGUUUAUUUUGUGGACCGUUUAGGGGUAAUUAGAUGUUAGAAUUUAAUCAUAAAUUGUAUACAAAACUUGUGGGGAAUUUUAUGUAGUUGCCUCUGGAGUUUUUGUUUGACACCACUGCUGUCUUAAUUUUAAAGUUAUGGAAUUGUUAAGCAGCGCCGCUGCAGUUUGGUUGGUGUGAGGAGAAUUGUUACCCGCGGCGGGGUUUGAGAUUGCGUGUAGGUGCGGCGUUGUUUUGAGUUUUUUUACGUGAAUUUGGUGCACUAAGUUGGGUGUCAAAAACAGGUGGUGGACUCCCAGAUCAUUCUUAGGGAUUUGCCCAAACUUCCGGUGAAGGCAAGUAAAACUGUGAUGGUUAUUCCGUCUGUCAGAUGAGGAGUCUUAUACUUGUUUAUGUUGUGCUAUUAUGUUCAAAUUCAUAUUUUCUUUUGAGUACGAUCAUUUGAAAAUGUUCAUGUUUCAUGGAUUUCAUAUGUUGAGUUUGAGGUUUGAUUAUGUUACUCAAGUGGUUAUUAUGUGGAAUGGGUGGAAGUAAAUGCCUAGCACAUUUUUAUUUGGGAAGAACUCAUGAUGUUGUCAUGCAUAAUGCACUCAUCAUCCAUUGCAUUGAAGUUUCAUCGCGAUCUUAUGGUCCGACCGUACCGGUACAUUGAGCAUCAUAUGUUGCCCGAGAAGGGGUAUGGUGCAGCUUCAUAUCCUUAGAGAUAUGGAGGCAGAAGUCAUUAUUGCAUUUGUAGCCAUGUGCAUUCAUGGGAGAGGUGUUGAAUCUAUUAUGUGGAUGUGGAUAAUUUGGACUUGUGCAUGGUGAUUCUACUUGGCGUUGAGUUUUUAGUUACUUGUUUACUUGCUGCAAUUUACUGUUCAAAAGAAAGAAAAGAAGUCCUGAACACGUGGUUGUGUAAGCACAGUUGAUUUACAAUGUCCUAUUUGUUGUUGUUAUGUUUACUUGUUGAGAUGUGUUAUCUCACAUCUUGCAUUGCUUGAUGCAGGCACCUAAUUUCUGCUUUGGGAAUAGAGGGAUGUAGCAGCACGGCCACUACACCUUUAAUAAAGGAACCACCAUUUAAUAAUGUUGUUAAUCAGAGUUGGACAAGUCUAGUGAAUUGCUUUGUUCUUGGUUGAGCGUUUAUUUUGGGGUGGGCUGAGUUUCUUAUCCCAUUUGUUUUGCUUUAGUUGGGUCAUAAUUAAGUUUUACCACUUUUGCAUUUCAGUUUCUACUAUGUGAAUUAUAUGUCUUUAUAUCUUGUAUGAGCUUCAUGUUUCCCCUCCUUGUUAUGCUAGUUUUCAAAGGAGGUGCUACCGGAUUUUUGCUAUAUAUUCUUUCU